RNAcentral lists this ribosomal RNA (552 nucleotides) under Microdochium sp. 5 BRM-2015. RNAcentral describes it as "eukaryotic LSU rRNA". The stretch from base 164 to 317 matches the Rfam family "5.8S ribosomal RNA". Lineage: Eukaryota; Fungi; Ascomycota; Sordariomycetes; Xylariales; Microdochiaceae. The record is from RNAcentral.
CUUAGGUGACUGCGGAGGGUCAUUACUGAGUUUUUAACUCUCCAAACCAUGUGAACUUACCACUGUCGAAAGGAGGUUGUGCUGGAAACAGUGCUGCCAUGGUGGACUACUAAACUCUUGUUAAUUUUUGUCAAAUCUGAAUCAAAACUAAGAAAUAAGUUAAAACUUUCAACAACGGAUCUCUUGGUUCUGGCAUCGAUGAAGAACGCAGCGAAAUGCGAUAAGUAAUGUGAAUUGCAGAAUUCAGUGAAUCAUCGAAUCUUUGAACGCACAUUGCGCCCAUUAGUAUUCUAGUGGGCAUGCCUGUUCGAGCGUCAUUUCAACCCUUAAGCCUAGCUUAGUGUUGGGAGACUGCCUAAUACGCAGCUCCUCAAAACCAGUGGCGGAGUCUGUUCGUGCUCUGAGCGUAGUAAUUUUUUAUCUCGCUUCUGCAAGCCGGCCAGACGACAGCCAUAAACCGCACCCUCUCGGGGGGCACUUUUUUAAUGGUUGACCUCGGAUCAGGUAGGAAUACCCGCUGAACUUAAGCAUAUCAAAAGGGGGGAAGAGAAA